RNAcentral lists this transfer RNA (76 nucleotides) under Felis catus (domestic cat). It matches the Rfam family "tRNA", at positions 10 to 71 of the family's 71-position model. Rfam says of the family: Transfer RNA (tRNA) molecules are approximately 80 nucleotides in length. Their secondary structure includes four short double-helical elements and three loops (D, anti-codon, and T loops). Lineage: Eukaryota; Metazoa; Chordata; Mammalia; Carnivora; Felidae. The record is from Rfam by way of RNAcentral.
GCUCAGUUGGCUGAGCGUCUGACUUUGGCUCAGGUCAUGACUUUAUGGUUUGUGGGUUUGAGCCCCACAUUGGGCU